GUAAUAAACCUUUAAAGAAGCGCACACUACAUAUGCUGCGUUGCGAUAUACAAAAAUGGAAAAGAGACUUGCCAUAGAUCGCUUGGUAAGCUGGGGAGGAAGGAAAAAAUUGCGACGCAAAAUUUUCAUUGAUCAAAACGCCCACUAAAAUCCGAAAACGAGUAGCAAGUUGGGGGGGGAAAGUAGGUAGAAGCCGCUGAAGAUGAUGGAGUUUUUAAAAUGCGAAAGGUUGGUUUUUGCACAAUGUAAACAAAGCCGAUUACACAUUUUGCAGGCGGAAAAGGCCAGCAAGUAGUAUAGCAAAGAACAAAAGACCGACACUUGGGUGCAGUUGAAAUGCGACACAGUUCAAAUACCAUCGUUACGAGGGCUCGAUUAAAUUUUUUCGUUGGCAAUGGAACUGUAGGGGACAAGGAUAUAUGGCUAGUGAAAGCUGCAUACAACUGUGUACUUGAAAACUGAGUAGGGAAGAAUCAAAUUGUUUACAGAUUAAUACAAAAUUGUUAAGUUGUUGAGAUUUGACUCUUAACAUAUAAAAAGAACAGAAAACCAUAUUCUGCAAAGAGAUU
Molecule: non-coding RNA, 569 nt
Organism: Schizosaccharomyces pombe (fission yeast)
Lineage: Eukaryota; Fungi; Ascomycota; Schizosaccharomycetes; Schizosaccharomycetales; Schizosaccharomycetaceae
Source: the annotation of a GenBank genome assembly